GCCUCUGCAGCUCAGUUGGUUAGAGCGCUGCACCGGAAUCGCAGGGCCGUAGGUUCAAUUCCUACCAGAGGAC
This 73-nucleotide transfer RNA is filed under the name Paramuricea clavata. It matches the Rfam family "tRNA". Rfam says of the family: Transfer RNA (tRNA) molecules are approximately 80 nucleotides in length. Lineage: Eukaryota; Metazoa; Cnidaria; Anthozoa; Malacalcyonacea; Plexauridae. The record is from Rfam by way of RNAcentral.